RNAcentral lists this ribosomal RNA (433 nucleotides) under uncultured bacterium. RNAcentral's name for it is "partial 16S ribosomal RNA". It matches the Rfam family "Bacterial small subunit ribosomal RNA", at positions 29 to 507 of the family's 1533-position model. The record is from RNAcentral.
AACGAACGCUGGCGGCAUGCCUAACACAUGCAAGUCGAACGAGACCUUCGGGUCUAGUGGCGCACGGGUGCGUAACGCGUGGGAACCUGCCCUUAGGUUCGGAAUAACUCCCCGAAUGGGGUGCUAAUACCGGAUAAUAUCUUCGGACCAAAGAUUUAUCGCCUUUGGAUGGGCCCGCGUUGGAUUAGCUAGUUGGUAGGGUAAUAGCCUACCAAGGCGACAAUCCAUAGCUGGUCUGAGAGGAUGAUCAGCCACACUGGGACUGAGACACGGCCCAGACUCCUACGGGAGGCGGCAGUGGGGGAUAUUGGACAGUGGGCGAAAGCCUGAUGCAGCAAUGCCGCGUGAGUGAUGAAGGCCUUAGGGUUGUAAAGCUCUUUUACCCGGGAUGAUAAUGACAGUACCGGGAGAAUAAGCUCCGGCUAACUCCGUG